Sus scrofa (pig) is the source of this 3377-nucleotide long non-coding RNA. RefSeq lists it as uncharacterized. The record is from RefSeq and is a predicted model, not a curated record. NCBI's taxonomy places the organism in Eukaryota, Metazoa, Chordata, Mammalia, Artiodactyla, Suidae.
UCUUUCUUUCUUUUUUUUUUUUUUUUUUGACAUGAUGUAUUUUAAACAAUUAUAUUGAGAUAUAAUUCACAAACCAUAUAAUUUAUCCAUUAAAAGCGUAUAAUUCAAUGGCUUCCAGUAUAUUCACAGAGUCAUGUAACUAUGACAAUAAUCAAUUCUAGAACAUUUUCAUCACCCCAAAAAGAAACCCCAUGCCCUAUAACCAUUAUUCCCCCAAUCUUUUCACUCUCCCUCCUACCCCUAGUCCUAGGCAAUCAAUAACUUACUUUCUGUCUCUAUAGAUUUACCCAUUUUGGACAGUUUAUGUAGAAGGAACCAUGAAGUAUAUGGUCUUUUGUCACUGCCUUCUUUCACUUAGCAUAAAAAUUUCAAGGUUCAUCCAUGUUAUAGCACAUAUCAUACUUCAGUUCUUUUUAUUGCUGAAUAAUAAUACUGAGCAUCAGAUGUUAAGAGAGUUAGAGACAUAUGCUAAAGACAAAUUGGGGCACACUCAGCUGAGAGUCUAGGUCUUAACUCAAAACUGUGUCAUAAGGAAUAAUUGAAGAAACCAAGGUUACUUAAUGCAGGAAUAAGAAGAUACAGUGACUUGAUAUCUAUUUACAAAUGACUGAAGAAAUAGCAUAAUUCAGAGAUAAUUGACAUUUUCUGUCUGAAUAUAGGUAGCAGAUUUAAGAACUAUUGGAAGAAGCUGUAGCAAACAAAUUUUACCUUGAAGUUAAAAAAAUGUAUACAAUUUCCCCCAAAGGAAAUAGAGAACCUCUGAAACACAUAUAUUCUUGACUAAGAUGUAAAAAUCUAGACCGGAUGAUCACAAACUGGGAAAGAUCUAGAGAAAGAUGAACUUUUGGCAUCCCUUUCAACCUUGAAAUUCUAUAUCAUUCAGAAGUCGAAUGGGAUUAGUGUCAGAACUGAGGUUAAAACUCAGAAACUCCUGGCUUCCAAACUUUUGCCCUACUCAGCCAUCACAUACACAAGCAAAAGUGAGAAAAGAGAGUUUAUCUAAGAUAAGUUGGCUUGGUGUGUUGAUGGAUUACUGUGGGGAUAAGGAGGAACCAAAGAAGAAGAGAGAAGUGGGACAACCUGACAUGUAUUCACACAUACGCAUGCGCGCGCGCACACACACACACACACACACACACACACACACACACACACACACACACCAAGAGAUAACUGAAGGGCAAUGUGUAUCUUUGGCUAAGUUGGGAGCAGACCUGACAUUUAGACCCCUACAUUGUCUAUACUGAAGCUUUUGCUCUCUAAGAAGAGAGAGUUUGGUUUGGGAAGAAGUUAUAAAUAAUUAGAGAAUAGAGGGGUUAACAUCCAUACCUAUCUAUAGGCCUCAAACCCAAACCAUUUUUAAUAUAGAUGUGAGAUUCUAGGCAAAAGUUGAAAUACAAAAGCUCAUUGAAUUAUUAUUUAAAGACUUUACCAGACAAACAGCACUCUUUGGUUUGCAAAUUACAGCACCAGGGGGCAAUAAUAUGGAGGCCAUUGUCUGCACGGAUCACACCACCACUCAGGCACCAGCUCAUGAUGGACUGAAAGCAUAUAGAGACAGCACAUGGGUAAAGGCAUUCUCAGGCUCCUAAGGGGCACUGCACUGCUGGCAAUGCUCAGUCUCCUUUGUUCAGCUUCGCAGAUCGUGGCCAUGACAGAUGGGAACUGGAAAAGAGGAGAAAAAACCUGGAAGAUAUAGGCAGUGACUUCAACCAAAAGACUGGUUUGUGAGCACAUGUUAAUAUGACGCCAUCAUGGUGGACUCCCAGAAAUACUAGGGAGACAUUUUGAAGAUGCCCGAUUUCCUGUUGAAGCAGAGCAGUGAUGGACAACGGAUCUAUACUAUGUUGAGUUACCAGCAAUUGCCUUCUAAACAACAAAAGCUUUAUUCUGAAAUCACAAAACAGAGCAAGAAUAUUUGAGAGGGCUGCACCUGGGCUAGGGGAUGAAUCAGAGCUACAGCUGUGGCCUAAGCCAUAGAUGCUGCAACACGGGAUCUGAGCCACAUCUGCAACCUAUACUACAGCUUGCCGCCAUGUCAGUUCCUGAACCCAAUGUGUAAGGCCAGGGAUUGAACCUGCAUCCUCAUGAGCACUAUGUUGGGUUUUUAACCUGCUGAGCCACAACGAAAACUCCAUUUUUGUUUUGUUGUUUUUUUUUUUAAUUGGGAUAUAAUCCACAUAUAAAAUUCAUCAUUUUAAAUUGUAAAAUUCAAUGGUUUUUAGUAUAUUUAUAAGAUCAUGCAACCAUUACGACUAAUUCCAAGACACUUUUAUCGCUCCAAAAAGGAGACCUCAUAUGCUUUAGCAGUCAUUCUCAAUUCUCUACUCACCCCAGCCCUUGGCAACUACUAGUCUACCUUUUGACUAUAUGGAUUUGAUUUAUUCAAGAUGUUUCAUGUAAAUUGAAUCAUAUUAUAUAUAGCCUUUUGUGUCUAGCAUAAUGUUUUUAAGUUUCAUCCAUGAUGUAGUUGGUAUCAGUAACAUCAAUUCUCUUUAUUGCUGAUAAUAGUAUUCCAUUGUAUAGAUAGGCCACAUUUUGUUUUUCCAUUCAUCAGUUGGUGGACAUUUGGAUUGUUUCCACUUUGGGGUUAUUGGAGAUAGUGCUGAUAUAAACAUUUGUGCACAAGUAUUUAUUUGAAUACAUGUUUUCAUUUAUCUUGGGCAUAAACCUAGGAGUGGAAUUUCUGGGUCUUAUGGUAACUCUAUGUUUAACUUUUUGAGGAUCUGCCACUGUUUUCCAAAGUGGCUGCACUAUUAUGUUCCUACCAGUAAGGACUGAGGGUUGAUGUGGUUAGGUUUAGAAUCUUAACUAUUCAGUUCUGCUGGUGAAACUAGAUCAGGCUUUGUGUGACGCUGCAAUUUCAAAGUAUACUAAAAAAAAUAAGAACACUGUGAAAUGCAUGGCUCUCCAUUAUAUUUAGUCUUUUUCUUUUACAAUUUCUUUUUUUGGCUGUGCCUGUGGCAUACAAAAAUUCUAGGGACAGAGAUUGAACCCAUGCCACAGCACUGACAAUGAUGGAUCCUUAACCUACUGAGCCACCAGGGAACUCCCUACAAUUUUAAGAUUCACUUUGUUCAAACUAUUCUCAUUCAUAGCAAAAGGCUAUAACCUACAAUAGUUCUACUCACAGAGUAGGAAUUCAAUAAAUAUAUAUUAAAUGAGUAGAUGAAUGAAUAAGAGGUAAUCUUAGUGGUUUCAUUAAAAAACAUUAAAAAGUAUUUCACAAAAAGCAUUGUCUUCUUGAUUCUAUGCUACCCCUGUUCUGUCACUGAUAUAACAUUUGAAGGCAAUAAAGACAAUUCUUGAGUUCCCACUGUGGUACAGCAGGUUAAGAACAUGACUAGUAUCCAUGAGGAUUCGGGUUCAAUCCCUGG